CAGUAGCCACGGUAAUCCGUAGGUGGCAAGCGUUGUCCGGAAUUAUUGGGCGUAAAGGGCUCGCAGGCGGUUUCUUAAGUCUGAUGUGAAAGCCCCCGGCUCAACCGGGGAGGGUCAUUGGAAACUGGGAAACUUGAGUGCAGAAGAGGAGAGUGGAAUUCCACGUGUAGCGGUGGAAUGCGUAGAGAUGUGGAGGAACACCAGUGGCGAAGGCGACUCUCUGGACUGUAACUGACGCUGAGGAGCGAAAGCGUGGGGAGCGAACAGGAUUAGAUACCCCCGUAGUCCCUGUCUCUUAUAC
Molecule: ribosomal RNA, 301 nt
Filed under: uncultured bacterium
Lineage: Bacteria
Description: partial 16S ribosomal RNA
Rfam family: Bacterial small subunit ribosomal RNA
Source: RNAcentral